Molecule: ribosomal RNA, 244 nt
Filed under: uncultured bacterium
Lineage: Bacteria
Description: partial 16S ribosomal RNA
Rfam family: Bacterial small subunit ribosomal RNA
Source: RNAcentral
AAGCCACUUGGCGACAAGGAGCGGAACCCGAAAACCUGUCUCAGUUCGGAUUGGAGUCUGCAACCCGACUCCAUGAAGCUGGAUUCGCUAGUAAUCGCGCAUCAGCCACGGCGCGGUGAAUACGUUCCCGGGCCUUGUACACACCGCCCGUCAAGCCAUGGAAGCCGGGAGUGCCUGAAGUGCGUGACCGCAAGGAACGCCCUAGGGUAAACCGGUGACUGGGGCUAAGUCGUAACAAGGUACC